Molecule: ribosomal RNA, 813 nt
Filed under: Karschia talcophila
Lineage: Eukaryota; Fungi; Ascomycota; Dothideomycetes; Asterinales; Stictographaceae
Description: partial 12S small subunit ribosomal RNA
Rfam family: Bacterial small subunit ribosomal RNA
Source: RNAcentral
GGAAGUAUGUAACGUAAAAAAAUUCUUUAUUAAUUUUUAGUAAAAUUUUUCCAUAUUAGGAUUAGUUCUAAUAUGACGAGUAUUAAAAUUCUAGAUAAAUCAAUGAUUAAUGACAAUAUUUAUCUAUAAGCCUUGACUAAUCCUCGUGCCAGCAGUCGCGGCAACACGAGUAAGUCUAGUGUUAUUCAUCUUUAUUAGGUUUAAAGCGUACCUAGACAGUAUAUAAAAUUUAGAUAAAUGCAAAUAUACUUGAGUUUUAUGUGGGAGGAAGAUAUGAGUAUUAUUAGAGUAGAGAUAAAAUACUUUGAUCCUAAUAAGACUGAUAAAGGUGAAGGCAAACCUCUAUAUAAAAACUGACGUUGAGAAACGAAGGCUCGGGUAGUGAAAAGGAUUAGAUACCCUUGUAGUCCGGGCAGAAAAUAAUGAGUGCCAUAGAUUAUAUAACUGUUAGUGGUCUAUAAAUUAAAGUGUAAGCAUUCCACCUCAUGAGUAAAGCGGCAACGCCGGAAUUGAAAUCAUUAGACCGUUUCUGAAACCAGUAGUGAAGUAUGAUAUUUAAUUCGAUGAUCCACGAAAAACCUUACCAAGAUUUGAAUUACCUAUGUUUAGUUUAUUUUUUUUUUUAAUAAUUCUAACUUAAUAGGGUUUAAAGGUAACUUUAAACAAACAGGUGUUGCACGGCUGUUUUUAACCAAUGUUCUGAGACUUUCUUAAAAUUGGUGAAAUCCCUUUCUCUAAUUAAUAUUAGGGAAUUUUAUUCUUAUUUUUUUUUAACUAGGGGUUAAGGCAAGUCAUCAUGACCCUCAUUUUAUU